RNAcentral lists this transfer RNA (85 nucleotides) under Vibrio cholerae CT 5369-93. RNAcentral describes it as "tRNA-Leu". It matches the Rfam family "tRNA". From Rfam's summary of the family: Transfer RNA (tRNA) molecules are approximately 80 nucleotides in length. Their secondary structure includes four short double-helical elements and three loops (D, anti-codon, and T loops). Further hydrogen bonds mediate the characteristic L-shaped molecular structure. tRNAs have two regions of fundamental functional importance: the anti-codon, which is responsible for specific mRNA codon recognition, and the 3' end, to which the tRNAs corresponding amino acid is attached (by aminoacyl-tRNA synthetases). tRNAs cope with the degeneracy of the genetic code in two manners: having more than one tRNA (with a specific anti-codon) for a particular amino acid; and 'wobble' base-pairing, i.e. permitting non-standard base-pairing at the 3rd anti-codon position. The record is from RNAcentral. Lineage: Bacteria; Pseudomonadati; Pseudomonadota; Gammaproteobacteria; Vibrionales; Vibrionaceae.
GCGGAAGUGGCGAAAUUGGUAGACGCACCAGAUUUAGGUUCUGGCGCCGCGAGGCGUAAGAGUUCAAGUCUCUUCUUCCGCACGA